RNAcentral lists this ribosomal RNA (469 nucleotides) under uncultured microorganism. RNAcentral describes it as "bacterial SSU rRNA". It matches the Rfam family "Bacterial small subunit ribosomal RNA", at positions 9 to 524 of the family's 1533-position model. The record is from RNAcentral.
GAGUUUGAUCUUGGCUCAGAACGAACGCUGGCGGCAUGCCUAACACAUGCAAGUCGAACGAGAUCUUCGGAUCUAGUGGCGCACGGGUGCAUAACGCGUGGGAAUCUGCCCUUGGGUGCGGAAUAACUUCUCGAAAGGGAUGCUAAUACCGCAUAAUGUCGUAAGACCAAAGAUUUAUCGCCCAAGGAUGAGCCCGCGUAAGAUUAGCUAGUUGGUGGGGUAAAAAGCCUACCAAGGCGACGAUCUUUAGCUGGUCUGAGAGGAUGAUCAGCCACACUGGGACUGAGACACGGCCCAGACUCCUACGGGAGGCAGCAGUGGGGAAUAUUGGACAAUGGGCGAAAGCCUGAUCCAGCAAUGCCGCGUGAGUGAUGAAGGCCCUAGGGUUGUAAAGCUCUUUACCCGGGAUGAUAAUGACAGUACCGGGAGAAUAAGCUCCGGCUAACUCCGUGCCAGCCGCCGCAGUAAC